RNAcentral lists this ribosomal RNA (1359 nucleotides) under uncultured bacterium. RNAcentral's name for it is "bacterial SSU rRNA". It matches the Rfam family "Bacterial small subunit ribosomal RNA", at positions 27 to 1381 of the family's 1533-position model. The record is from RNAcentral.
GGAUGAACGCUAGCGGCAGGCUUAACACAUGCAAGUCGAGGGGCAGCACGGGUAGCAAUACCUGGUGGCGACCGGCGCAAGGGUGCGUAACGCGUGAGCAACAUGCCCUAUACAGGGGGAUAAUCCAGGGAAACUUGGUCUAAUAUCCCAUAGUAUUUAGAGGAGGCAUCUUCUAUAAAUUAAAGCUUCGGUGGUAUAGGAUUGGCUCGCGUGACAUUAGCUAGAUGGUGAGGUAACGGCUCACCAUGGCAAUGAUGUCUAGGGGUUCUGGGAGGAAGGCCCCCCACACUGGGACUGAGACACGGCCCAGACUCCUACGGGAGGCAGCAGUGAGGAAUAUUGGACAAUGGAUGGAAAUCUGAUCCAGCCAUGCCGCGUGCAGGAAGACAGCCCUAUGGGUUGUAAACUGCUUUUAUAUGGGAGCAAUAAGGUCUACGUGUAGACUGAUGAGAGUACCAUAUGAAUAAGCAUCGGCUAACUCCGUGCCAGCAGCCGCGGUAAUACGUAGGGGGCGAGCGUUGUCCGGAAUGAUUGGGCGUAAAGGGCGCGUAGGCGGCGAUGCAAGUCGGUAGUGGAAGUCCUGUUUUCAAGGCAGGAAUUGCUAUUGAAACUGCAUGGCUUGAGUGCAGGAGAGGUUAUCGGAAUUCCCGGUGUAGCGGUGAAAUGCGUAGAGAUCGGGAGGAACACCAGUGGCGAAGGCGGGUAACUGGACUGCAACUGACGCUGAGGCGCGAAAGUGUGGGGAGCAAACAGGAUUAGAUACCCUGGUAGUCCACACUGUAAACGAUGAAUGCUAAGUGCAGGGGGUAUCGACCCCUUCUGUGCCGCAGUAAACACAUUAAGCAUUCCGCCUGGGGAGUACGGUCGCAAGAUUAAAACUCAAAGGAAUUGACGGGGGCCCGCACAAGCAGCGGAGCAUGUGGUUUAAUUCGAAGCAACGCGAAGAACCUUACCAGGUCUUGACAUCCAGGUAAAGCUGUAGAGAUAUAGUGUGCCUUCGGGCAAUCUGAGACAGGUGGUGCAUGGUUGUCGUCAGCUCGUGUCGUGAGAUGUUGGGUUAAGUCCCGCAACGAGCGCAACCCUUGCCGAUAGUUACUAACGAGUAGUGUCGAGGACUCUAUUGGGACCGCCGGGGACAACUCGGAGGAAGGUGGGGACGACGUCAAAUCAUCAUGCCCCUUAUGACCUGGGCUACACACGUGCUACAAUGGCCGAGACAGAGAGGAGCGAAGGCGCAAGCUGGAGCGGAUCUCAAAAAAGCGGUCGAAGUUCGGAUUGUGGGCUGCAACCCGCCCACAUGAAGCAGGAGUUGCUAGUAAUCGCGAAUCAGCAUGUCGCGGUGAAUACGUUCCCGGGCCU